UACGAAGGGGGCUAGCGUUGCUCGGAAUCACUGGGCGUAAAGGGUGCGUAGGCGGGUCUUUAAGUCGGGUGUGAAAUCUUGGAGCUUAACUCCGAAACUGCAUUCGAUACUGCCGUGCUUGAGGACUGGAGAGGAGACUGGAAUUUACGGUGUAGCGGUGAAAUGCGUAGAUAUCGUAAGGAAGACCAGUGGCGAAGGCGGGUCUCUGGACAGUUCCUGACGCUGAGGCACGAAGGCCAGGGGAGCAAACGGG
Molecule: ribosomal RNA, 253 nt
Filed under: uncultured bacterium
Lineage: Bacteria
Description: partial 16S ribosomal RNA
Rfam family: Bacterial small subunit ribosomal RNA
Source: RNAcentral